RNAcentral lists this ribosomal RNA (466 nucleotides) under Vreelandella stevensii. RNAcentral's name for it is "partial 16S ribosomal RNA". It matches the Rfam family "Bacterial small subunit ribosomal RNA", at positions 338 to 795 of the family's 1533-position model. The record is from RNAcentral. Lineage: Bacteria; Pseudomonadati; Pseudomonadota; Gammaproteobacteria; Oceanospirillales; Halomonadaceae.
CCUACGGGCGGCAGCAGUGGGGAAUAUUGGACAAUGGGCGAAAGCCUGAUCCAGCCAUGCCGCGUGUGUGAAGAAGGCCUUCGGGUUGUAAAGCACUUUCAGUGGGGAAGAAAGCCUUGGGGCUAAUACCCUCGAGGAAGGACAUCACCCACAGAAGAAGCACCGGCUAACUCCGUGCCAGCAGCCGCGGUAAUACGGGAGGGUGCGAGCGUUAAUCGGAAUUACUGGGCGUAAAGCGCGCGUAGGCGGUCUGAUAAGCCGGUUGUGAAAGCCCCGGGCUCAACCUGGGAACGGCAUCCGGAACUGUCAGGCUAGAGUGCAGGAGAGGAAGGUAGAAUUCCCGGUGUAGCGGUGAAAUGCGUAGAGAUCGGGAGGAAUACCAGUGGCGAAGGCGGCCUUCUGGACUGACACUGACGCUGAGGUGCGAAAGCGUGGGUAGCAAACAGGAUUAGAUACCCUGGUAGUC